This 302-nucleotide long non-coding RNA is filed under the name Zonotrichia albicollis (white-throated sparrow). RNAcentral's name for it is "lncRNA (ENSZALG00000001184.1)". The record is from RNAcentral. Lineage: Eukaryota; Metazoa; Chordata; Aves; Passeriformes; Passerellidae.
GUGACGCCCCCGGGCAUCGGGGACGAAACAAAAGUUCCUCAAAUCCCCCUAAAAUUUUUUAAAUGCCCCCAAAAUUUCUGCUUUUUGCAUCAAGGACAAAGCCCCUCCUCACAACCCAGCGCUGUCCCCUCUCUUGGGGGUCUCUGUCCUCUCUCUGUCCCUUCCCAGGGGUCUCUGUCCCUUUUUGGGGAGGGGUCUCUGUGUCCCCUUUUAGGGUCUCUGUCCCUUUUUGGGGAGGGGUCUCUGUGUCCUCUUUUGGGGUCUCUGUCCCCUUUUGGGGGGGGUCUCUGUCCCCUCUCUUG